UACGGAGGGUGCGAGCGUUGUUCGGAAUCAUUGGGCGUAAAGCGCGCGCAGGCGGCCCUUUAAGUCUACCUGUGAAAGGCCGGGGCUCAACCCCGUGGCAAGCAGGAGAUACUGGAGGGCUGGAGAGGGGCAGAGGCCGGCGGAAUUCCGGGUGUAGCGGUGGAAUGCGUAGAGAUCCGGAAGAACACCAGCGGCGAAGGCGGCCGGCUGGGCCUCAUCUGACGCUGAGGCGCGAAAGCGUGGGGAGCGAACAGG
This 255-nucleotide ribosomal RNA is filed under the name uncultured Longimicrobium sp. RNAcentral's name for it is "partial 16S ribosomal RNA". It matches the Rfam family "Bacterial small subunit ribosomal RNA", at positions 524 to 776 of the family's 1533-position model. Lineage: Bacteria; Pseudomonadati; Gemmatimonadota; Longimicrobiia; Longimicrobiales; Longimicrobiaceae. The record is from RNAcentral.